Long non-coding RNA from Mesocricetus auratus (golden hamster), 364 nucleotides. RefSeq lists it as uncharacterized. The transcript is spliced from 3 exons. NCBI's taxonomy places the organism in Eukaryota, Metazoa, Chordata, Mammalia, Rodentia, Cricetidae. The record is from RefSeq and is a predicted model, not a curated record.
GGCAAGGCGCACCGGGGCGAGCCGGGAGCCCUGCGCGCUUCCCUAACGCUGUCGCUGUCGCUUCUUCGUGGCUGUCGGGGUGUAGGGGUCAGUCUGCUGUCCACAGCCUGUGCCUUCCUGACAAGGAAACGCUGCUGCGGGGAGGGAUGAGCAGUAGAUGCUUCAGGAGAGGAGUUGAAGAGCCUGGGGUGGGGAUGCAGGGCCUGCGCCGCUGCAGGGAUGGAGGGGUGAAAAAGUGUCAGCUGGAUCGGGCGUGCUGACAGAAUGGAGAGGAGUCCCCUAAAAAAAAGAAUAGUGACUGCGGUCACUUUAUAGGACAUGAUAACUGACUUUUUAAUAAAGGUUGCUUUGCAUUUUCUCCCUA